UUAAAUUGAAGAGUUUGAUCAUGGCUCAGAUUGAACGCUGGCGGCAGGCCUAACACAUGCAAGUCGAACGGUAACAGGAAGCAGCUUGCUGCUUUGCUGACGAGUGGCGGACGGGUGAGUAAUGUCUGGGAAACUGCCUGAUGGAGGGGGAUAACUACUGGAAACGGUGGCUAAUACCGCAUAACGUCGCAAGACCAAAGAGGGGGACCUUCGGGCCUCUUGCCAUCAGAUGUGCCCAGAUGGGAUUAGCUUGUUGGUGAG
RNAcentral lists this ribosomal RNA (261 nucleotides) under Bacillus cereus. RNAcentral's name for it is "partial 16S ribosomal RNA". It matches the Rfam family "Bacterial small subunit ribosomal RNA", at positions 1 to 256 of the family's 1533-position model. The record is from RNAcentral. Lineage: Bacteria; Bacillati; Bacillota; Bacilli; Caryophanales; Bacillaceae.